UACAGAGGUCCCAAGCGUUGUUCGGAUUCACUGGGCGUAAAGGGUGCGUAGGCGGUCGGGUAAGUCUGAUGUGAAAUCUCACAGCUUAACUGUGAAACUGCAUUGGAUACUAUCCGGCUCGAGGAAUGGAGGGGAGACUGGAAUACUUGGUGUAGCAGUGAAAUGCGUAGAUAUCAAGUGGAACACCAGUGGCGAAGGCGAGUCUCUGGACAACUUCUGACGCUGAGGCACGAAAGCUAGGGGAGCAAACAGG
This 253-nucleotide ribosomal RNA is filed under the name uncultured bacterium. RNAcentral describes it as "partial 16S ribosomal RNA". It matches the Rfam family "Bacterial small subunit ribosomal RNA", at positions 524 to 776 of the family's 1533-position model. The record is from RNAcentral.